GAUGAACGCUAGCGGCAGGCCUAAUACAUGCAAGUCGAACGGGUGGUCGCAAGACCACUAGUGGCGCACGGGUGCGUAACGCGUAACCAACCUGCCCCGAUCUGGGGGAUAGCCCGCCGAAAGGCGGAUUAAUACCGCAUAUACCCGCAGCCUGGCAUCAGGCAACGGGGAAAGAUUUAUUGGAUCGGGAUGGGGUUGCGUGACAUUAGCUAGUUGGCGGGGUAAGGGCCCACCAAGGCGACGAUGUCGAGGGGACCUGAGAGGGUGAUCCCCCACACUGGCACUGAGAUACGGGCCAGAGUCCGACGGGAGGCAGCAGUAGGGAAUAUUGGGCAAUGGGCGAGAGCCUGACCCAGCCAUGCCGCGUGCCGGAUGAAGGCCUUCUGGGUUGUAAACGGCGUUUCUCAGGGAAGAAAAAGACCUUGCGAGGUACACUGACGGUACCUGAGGAAUAAGCACGGGCUAACUCCGUG
This 473-nucleotide ribosomal RNA is filed under the name uncultured bacterium. Its description in RNAcentral is "partial 16S ribosomal RNA". It matches the Rfam family "Bacterial small subunit ribosomal RNA", at positions 28 to 507 of the family's 1533-position model. The record is from RNAcentral.